GGUUUCGAUGAAGUUUUCGGAUGGAUUUGAAAUCGACUUAGCGGCGGACGGGUGAGUAACGCGUGGGUAACCUGCCUUACACUGGGGGAUAACAGUUAGAAAUGACUGCUAAUACCGCAUAAGCGCACAGGGCCGCAUGGUCUGGUGUGAAAAACUCCGGUGGUGUAAGAUGGACCCGCGUCUGAUUAGGUAGUUGGUGGGGUAACGGCCCACCAAGCCGACGAUCAGUAGCCGACCUGAGAGGGUGACCGGCCACAUUGGGACUGAGACACGGCCCAAACUCCUACGGGAGGCAGCAGUGGGGAAUAUUGGACAAUGGGCGAAAGCCUGAUCCAGCGACGCCGCGUGAGUGAAGAAGUAUUUCGGUAUGUAAAGCUCUAUCAGCAGGGAAGAAAAUGACGGUACCUGACUAAGAAGCCCCGGCUAACUACGUGCCAGCAGCCGCGGUAAUACGUAGGGGGCAAGCGUUAUCCGGAUUUACUGGGUGUAAAGGGAGCGUAGACGGUUAAGCAAGUCUGAAGUGAAAGCCCGGGGCUCAACCCCGGUACUGCUUUGGAAACUGUUUGACUUGAGUGCAGGAGAGGUAAGUGGAAUUCCUAGUGUAGCGGUGAAAUGCGUAGAUAUUAGGAGGAACACCAGUGGCGAAGGCGGCUUACUGGACUGUAACUGACGUUGAGGCUCGAAAGCGUGNGGAGCAAACAGGAUUAGAUACCCUGGUAGUC
This 722-nucleotide ribosomal RNA is filed under the name uncultured bacterium. Its description in RNAcentral is "bacterial SSU rRNA". It matches the Rfam family "Bacterial small subunit ribosomal RNA", at positions 69 to 795 of the family's 1533-position model. The record is from RNAcentral.